This 253-nucleotide ribosomal RNA is filed under the name uncultured bacterium. RNAcentral's name for it is "partial 16S ribosomal RNA". It matches the Rfam family "Bacterial small subunit ribosomal RNA", at positions 524 to 776 of the family's 1533-position model. The record is from RNAcentral.
UACGUAGGGGGCAAGCGUUGUCCGGAAUCAUUGGGCGUAAAGAGCGUGUAGGCGGUCAGAUAAGUCCGCUGUGAAAUCUCGAGGCUCAACUUCGAGCUGUCGGUGGAAACGGUCUGGCUAGAGUCCGGAAGAGGAGAAUGGAAUUCCUGGUGUAGCGGUGAAAUGCGCAGAUAUCAGGAAGAACACCCGUGGCGAAGGCGGUUCUCUGGGACGGUACUGACGCUGAGACGCGAAAGCGUGGGGAGCGAACAGG